GGGCACGACACCGGAGAGGGAGCCUGAGAAACGGCUACCACAUCCAAGGAUGGCAGCAGGCGCGCAAAUUACCCAAUCCCGACACGGGGAGGUAGUGACAAUAAAUAACAAUACGGGGUUCUUUAGGAUCUCGUAAUUGGAAUGAGUACAAUUUAAAUCUCUUAACGAGGAACAAUUGGAGGGCAAGUCUGGUGCCAGCAGCCGCGGUAAUUCCAGCUCCNAUAGCGUAUAUUAAAGUUGUUGCAGUUAAAAAGCUCGUAGUUGAAUUUCGGGGUUAGUAGGUUGGUCAUGCCUNUGGUAUGUACUGGUCUCANUGAUUCCUCCUUCCUUAUGAANCGUAAUGCNAUUAAUUUGGUGUUGNGGGGAAUUUGGACUGUUACUUNNAAAAAA
Molecule: ribosomal RNA, 390 nt
Filed under: uncultured Glomeromycotina
Lineage: Eukaryota; Fungi; Glomeromycota
Description: partial small subunit ribosomal RNA
Rfam family: Eukaryotic small subunit ribosomal RNA
Source: RNAcentral